RNAcentral lists this ribosomal RNA (253 nucleotides) under uncultured bacterium. RNAcentral describes it as "partial 16S ribosomal RNA". It matches the Rfam family "Bacterial small subunit ribosomal RNA", at positions 524 to 776 of the family's 1533-position model. The record is from RNAcentral.
UACGGAGGGUGCAAGCAUUAAUCGGAUUUAUUGGGCGUAAAGGGCGCGUAGGCGGGUAUAAUAGUCAGAUGUGAGAUCCUGGGGCUCAACCUCAGAACUGCAUUUGAAACUGUAUCCCUAGAGGGUAGGAGGAGAAAACGGAAUUCCACAAGUAGCGGUGAAAUGCGUAGAUAUGUGGAAGAACACCGGUGGCGAAGGCGGUUUUCUAUCUUAUUCCUGACGCUAAUGCGCGAAAGCAAGGGGAUCAAACAGG